Molecule: ribosomal RNA, 253 nt
Filed under: uncultured bacterium
Lineage: Bacteria
Description: partial 16S ribosomal RNA
Rfam family: Bacterial small subunit ribosomal RNA
Source: RNAcentral
UACAGAGGGUGCUAGCGUUAAUCGGAAUUACUGGGCGUAAAGCGUGUGUAGGUGGUUGUAUAAGUUAGAUGUGACAUCCCCGGGCUUAACCUGGGAAUUGCGUUUAAGACUGUAUAGCUAGAGUACUGUAGAGGAUAGUGGAAUUUCCAGUGUAGCGGUGAAAGGCGUAGAUAUUGGAAGGAACACCAGUGGCGAAGGCGACUAUCUGGAUAGAUACUGACACUGAGACACGAAAGCGUGGGGAGCAAACAGG